UACGUAGGGCGCAAGCGUUGUCCGGAAUUAUUGGGCGUAAAGAGCUCGUAGGCGGUUUGUCGCGUCUGCUGUGAAAACCUCAGGCUCAACCUGGGGCUUGCAGUGGGUACGGGCAGACUAGAGUGCGGUAGGGGUGACUGGAAUUCCUGGUGUAGCGGUGGAAUGCGCAGAUAUCAGGAGGAACACCGAUGGCGAAGGCAGGUCACUGGGCCGCAA
RNAcentral lists this ribosomal RNA (216 nucleotides) under uncultured bacterium. Its description in RNAcentral is "partial 16S ribosomal RNA". It matches the Rfam family "Bacterial small subunit ribosomal RNA", at positions 524 to 739 of the family's 1533-position model. The record is from RNAcentral.